GCUGGAUUCUGCGCUGGGGGCUGCAUACAGGCUGGCAGUGAGAUGCUGGACAGCAGCCCCACUGAAAGGGAUGGGGGCUCUGGCUGACACCUCGUCAAAACGAUGAAGUAGCAGGAAUCUCCUCAGAGAGCAAUGUAUCACAACAUUUUUGAAGAAGAUUUCCAAAUCGAAGAUGACUUCCAAAGAACAGCAAGGAUGUAAUCUUGGAGCCAAUCAAACCAAUGGCAAAAAUCCCACUUUCUGCAUGAUCUUCUUAAUGGAGCUUCUGAAAUUUCGGAGCUUCAUAUAUUAUGGUUAAAAGGUACUGUCCAAAUUCAGCAUCUGUGAGCCUUACAGAGGCAUGACCCUAAGAAGAAGUGAUGAAAAAUGCCUAUUUUAAAAACAAAUAACCCUAUUUAUAAUGACACCGAAGGGAAAGUGGGGAAUUCAGUAUAUAAUACUUAAUACUGACACCUGCCACUUGCAAAAUCUCUCCACUGCUCGAAACAUGUAUUUGUGAGAGUUUGGAAAAUUUUGAUCACUCGUUUUUUCCUCCUUUGUUUCCAUUUUGCUCACUGGUAGGGCUGUCCAAUAACAGCACUGACGUUGCUGAAAUGUCAUGAUGAACUUUGCUCAUGUACUAGUUCCAGGUGAGAUGGGAGUAGUUACAAUUCUUAACAAAAAAAACCCGAAAGAAGUAUUUGCCAGUGUUUUUGGAUAUAGUUGUUAUGUCCCAGGCACAGAGAUUAGUCAGAGCAUCCAUAAAUAUCACUGUCAUUGAAAUCUGAUAUCCAAACCCUUCACUCCAAAUGCCCACCAGCUGUGAAAACCCUGCUGAGCUUUGGCCACUGGGCUGUAAACUCCUUCUGGGUUUUGCUCCGUGCCUGGCACAAUGGCUGGGGGUCCCUGCCAGAGCAGUAGGGUGAGCAUUUCAGAAGGGGAAGCAAAAGGCACAUCCUACACAGUGGAUUGCCUGGUGGGAAAAAGCUCCCACUGUGUAUCAUAUUGCACAGUCCAUCUCCCAGGCUUCAUUCCUGUUCUUAGCUUCUGGUCACCGCAGUAGAGGAGGGUCAGUGUAGAAGGUUACGGAGCAGCUGUGGAGGCUGGUGUGCCAGCCAGUAGAAGUAUCAUAAAUGGUCAGGUUAAAUUUUACUCUUUCUUGAGUACUUCUGUUAGAAACUGAGCUAAAUAGUGUCUUGGUCCCAACACAUAUAGAAGUUUUGAUGCUAUCACAUAAAGAAAAUUCAGUUUCUCUGAGAAAACUUGAGACAAAAGAGCCAACCCAAAAUAUUUAUCAUUUUACACUAAAUUAAUGCAAACAAAAACAAUGCUCUUUACAGUAAAUUUAUUGCUGAGUUUUACUAGAAUUAACUGAUAUUCCUACUUGACUAAUAUCUAGCUGGUAGGCUUGGUGAGGGUUUUUUCCAUAAAUGAAUUUUGGUGAAGGAGAAGGUGUUCUUCAAUGGAUUAAAAUAUUUUGCAUCCAGAAAUGUUCUGUUUCAUUGAAAGGUUUAGAGUUUUCAGUAGGAAAAAAGUUAAGAACAGCAGCUGAAUUAUUUUGAGUAAGAAUUUUCUUCAGUAUUCCAUUCACCCAUCACCUCAGAACACUACAGAAGUAGCGUAUUAACUGAAGCAACAAAAUCCAUCCAUAUCAUCAACAGUUUUCCUAAGGGAGAGAAGUAGACCUUAGUUACUUCCAUCAUUUACCACUUCUGCGUAUAGCUGGCUUUAAUCCAGCUCUGAAUUCCACAGGUGGCUGUUCUGCACCAUCCCAGAACCACAUGGGUCUGAACUCUGAGUUGAAUCCAUACAUAGAGCAGACUGUAUCAACACAACACUAUGUAUUAGUAAUAACAAUAUGUUUAGAGCCUAUUGGAACCUAUAUAAACUCCAAAUUAGCUCAGCUGAGCUGGAAAUACCACCAGCAGUGAUUGUCUUAGAGAGUGUAGCAGAAAUAUGAACUCGUGGCCUGAACCAGUGAUUGAGCACCUGUAGGAAGGCAGGGCCAACCCAGGGGAGCUCAGGUGCAUGCAAUGAUCCUAAGUGACUGGAGGGAGUGGAGCCAGUAUCCACCCCUUCCCAGACCUGAUUUAAGGGUUGGCAGUGGAGGUAAGAGGGUCUUGCUGGAGAUCUCUGCUUACUGGGUGUCCUUCAAAGGUAAGUAGUUUUUUUUUCCUUUGUGUCUGUGGCUGCUGCAUUUGGGCUUGUUCUUAUUUGCUGUAGCCUAGGAUUGUGCCACUCUACUAUUACUGCUGUGCUUAGGGGACCUGAAUGAAGGGCUCAGGGACGGCAGACCCAGUGCCCUGAAGAUGCUACAGGUAAUAUGGCUCUUAUCCAAAUUUUGGGCACUGAUAAUCAGGUAAGACCCCAAAUUGCAAUGAAAAUAAUCUUCUGCUCUCUGUAAAUUUAGAACCUGGUUCCCAUAAAAUAGAGUGCACCUUUGAAGGUGCAAGUAGUACCAAAAUGGUGUGGCCUACUUGUACCUUGGGGGAGACUACUGGAAGCUGGCGGAUUGGUAGUCUCCCCAGUAUGUGGCCAGUGGAUAUCAUGGUUAACACUCUGGUUUGCACUGUAAAGGGAACCUUAAUCAUGUCCGUAUGGCAGAUGUGUCCCCCCUCCCAACUUUGAUACCUGAUAUAGUUAUGCUGCUUUAGAUAUUGGGCCAAAGGGUGUGGUACAGGUGGUUGGAUAUACCCAAGUGCAAGCCAAAAUGUUGACCCAGGAUAAGAACGUAGCCUAUAUCUUGCUGUGAAGGGCUGACCUACUCUUUCUGGUAUCUCUAAAACAUCUAUGCUACUUCCUCUGAGUCUCUUUAAGUCCACAGGACCGUUAGAAGGAGCAACGUGACAUCAAGAUGCUCCAGUGUCACUGUAAGAUCAGCAUGACACCCUGUGGACUAUAUGAGACUGAUGGAAUGCGAGCCAAACCUUCUCUGGUCCAAGCAACUAGGUGCCUCCAGGAGAACCACAAAGGAAUGUGAAUCUCAAUCAAGAACCAGUCAUCAAUUGUCUUAUAUUUUGUCCAUCUAUAUUGUGAUGGGCAAAUUGUACAAAGCAUUGCUUACCUUCAAUCUGCUCAAUCAUCGCUUCACACCAUGAGGGGGUGAAGUGCAGGGGAAAUGUUAACUCAUGGCCUGAACCAGUGAUUGAGCACCUGGUAGGAAGGCAGGGCCAACCCAGGGGAGCUCAGGUGCAUGCAAUGCUCCUAAAUUACUGGAAGGAGGGGAGCUGGAUCCACCCCCUCCCAGACCUCAUUUAAGGGUUGGUAGUGGAGAUCCCUGCCUAUGGAGGCCUCCUAAAGGUAAGCAGUUUUUCUUCCUUUGUUUCUGUGUCUGUGGCUGCUGCAUUUGGGCUUGUUCUUAUUGGCUGCAGCCUAAGAUUGUGCCACUUUGCUAUUAUUGCUGUACUUUCCUUCACAUUAUAACAUUACAGCAUCACAAAGAGAAGCUGAGUAAGACACAGUGCAGUCAGAUGCAGGCAGGGCCAACACAGGAGAAAGUCUGCUGUCUGUGCAAAACUGAAAGUAGCUCAGCAUAUUGGGCUAAAGCAAAGUCCAGCUGAAUGGCACCAUUUAAUGCUCAAAGGAGAGCCCAAGUGCCAGCUGGUGCCAGGAGCUAAGGAGUACCCAUGGGGAAGGGUACAAAGGUGGCACUGAUGCACAGCACUUGGCUUAACUCCCUCAAAGGUUGCAGCUGAGUCUCUGUUAAUUUUUCCUUAACACAACAGUAUUGAGAAUUAUGCCAAGCUACUCAACAGCAAUGCCUCCUUCUCAUUGACCUUUCAUGAGGAAAAUAUCAGUAUUUGACAUCCCAGGCAUAAGUGAAGACAAACAAAGGCACAGUUAGUUCUGUUAUAAGCUUGAGAACUUUGUGUACUAAGGUCCUCAUCCUCCAAAGCAUUUGGGGUUGUAUGAUUCAUGUAACUGAUGGACAAGUCUGCAAGUUUUGUCUAAGUAGAGGCAAGAAUGAAACCCAGGUCUGUGAUAUGUCCUGUGCUCAGUGAUGAGAGCCAUCUCAUUACUCUAUAUCCACCUGGAUAUAGAAGUAUCUGGUAUAAAAGUGUCAUCUGAAUUUGAAACUGUUACUUACAAUGCUACAAGGGGAAAUUCUUAUUUAUUACAGUUUUGUUAUCAGUAUUCUUGCGGAGCUGAAUUUCCUGUGCAGACAUGCAGCAACCUGGUUCAUCACACAACCAAACCUUCAGCAUGGGGAAGUUAUUCUCAUUCACCUCUGUUUAUUUUCCAGCUCUUGUCCUAUCAGCCCAAGUGGAUCAAGGUGGGAGGAGGCGAAGCAAUUGGAACAGGCAGUUUUUAAGGCUGCAUUGAGUAUAAGAGCUUUUCCUACCUAGCUGCAUAUAUUCAGUUACAGGACAAUGAUCGGAGGAGGGAAGGAAACCAAGCAACAUGUACUGAAGAUUUUAAGGCCUACAUCCUAUGGAAACUCUUGGGACAGAUGAAAUCCUCCAACUAUCUUCUUUAUCUUCUUUAGCACUUAGCCUCUAAAACUUGGUGGAAAUUCAGAAGUCUUGAAGUGGCCAUUGCAGUCUUGAGUAAGGUGACGUCCUUUUUACAACUAGCAUUUGGCUGUAGGUUCCACAGCGGCUCUUUUGUUUAAAUGCUCACUCCUCGCUAAGGAUUACUGACUGAAGCCCUUCAUUCUUGACAUCACCCAGUUUCUCCCUGCUGACCAGCUGUGUGUGGAGCAGCAUACUCAGAAGAUGGCUACUCAGGGGUCAGUGCAGCCAGCCAGCUGCUUAUCCUUGCAUGGGACAUCCACCUGCUCCUUGCUAAAGCAGUGCCUGGGUGACCCACCUGCUAACCCAGAGGGACAGCUCUGAGGCCUAGCAGUUGCACAGGUACCUGCCUCCCCAUAGCUACACAGGGCACAUCUCUGACUUCCCCUCCCUCUUCUUUCAGUCCACUUUCAGUCCCCACUCACUUGCUCCAUCAAACACAGCCUGUGUGAAAUUAGGCCCAGCAGGAGCACAUUUUGAGGAGUGCACAGCUUCUAUUUACACAUAAAAAAAGAACUUUACAGCACCAGGCACUUAGAUGUCCUUCACACCUUCACCUUUCUAAGGAAUACCCUUUCUGAGCCAUCCUGUGCUAACCUGGACAUUAGAAUGGAAUGUAGACAAACAUACAUAGCAACUCAUCCCCUCUGAUUUACCCAAAAUACCUUAAUUUCUUUGUGUUUACCUGCAUUACUUUGAUCCAAGCAUUCAUUUCUUAGGCAGAAACUUUUUUUUUUUUUUUAAAUAUAUACAAUGUCUAUUUUUUUUUCCUUAUAAAAAAAUUUCUAAUAUACUUCUCCCAACCUAUGGCUGUGUGAGAAAAGAUUCAUAGCAGUAAGGUAUCCUCAGGUUUCCUAAACACCUAGAAGUUUAGUAUGGUCUUAUUCUUCUAAAACACAAACUCUGUCAGCUAAAACACCACCACCCUACUCCCAACAUUAGAACACAGCUAUCUUUCUAUGAAGACCACACAAAACUCCUGCAGACAUGACCAAUCAUUAGUUCUGCUUGAUGAUCAGACCUACUCACCUGUCAGCCUAGCUGGCUUGCUGCUAGAAAUGCUGCUUCUCUGAUGGCCCAAACAGAGGCUUCAAAUGAAAGAGAUAAUGAGAAUUUGGCACAUUACUCUGAAAAGUUGCAAUACAACAUUGGGGCUUCUUGGCACAAGUCACUGGUUUCAGCACCAGAGAGACUGCUACGUCUGUAAGUUCUGGCCUAUUUCCCUCACACUGCCCUAUGAGCUCCUCUAGCAAGCUCCACCUUAAGGAAAUUGUGUUUGUAAUCACCAGUAUCACCAGUACUUCGUAAUCACCAGUACUUAGCAAACCUUUUUCUAAUUCCAGCUUAUGUCCAUCCACAGCAGUUUGUAUCACCAUUUUUGUACCAGCGCAUCCCUUUGCCUAGAGAGCUCUUCUCAACUUUUCUUCCUUAAUUUUUAGCUAUGACAUAUUUAUAGGCAGGAAUUCUGGUUACUGCCUUUCUCAGCUAACCUCUCCCAGUGUCCCCUCUGUUGGCAGGCCCUGCUGUCCUUAUCCACCUGUUUCUGUUAUUGCUCCUGCAUCAGCUCACUUAUUUUGUUUCUUAGUGAGCAAAAACGUGCACAACAUCGAAGCUGAACUCUCAUCUGUGCCUGGUGCACUGUCCCUGUCUGAUUUGUCCCCUAAGACUGCAUUUCCCUUUUCAUGGCUACAGCAUAGUUGUGGCUCAAAGUCACCCUGUGAUUAGAGUACACCCAAGUCUUCUUCCUCCCCAAGCUGCUUUAAGUGCAUAGCUCAUUACCAAAUGUUUUCUUAGUAACAAUACCCAGCUCUGCGGUGAUCUGCAUGAGCUAUGGGUCUGGGCCCCCUUCUCUAGAAGAGCCAGACUUUGCCAGCUGACACCAGCUGCAGAACCAGUUCUCAGUAUUCAGUGCACUUGGGGAGAAAGAAACAAGUAGUAAACUAAAGACAAAUGGAGCUACAUCACAGUCAAACAUAUUGUAACACUACCAACCAAGACAGCUGCUUCUGCCAACAUGGAAACAAGAUAGGAACUAGAGUGUUUCUAUUUUUGCAUUAAAAUAGAAACAGGGAUGGAGAGGACUUGGGGAAUUUAUCAAACCAAAUAAAUAUUUUUCAUUUUAAAAUUUGAAUGGAAUGGAAAUUAUAAUCUUCCACUGUUACCAUGGAGCUGAAUAUUGUCCUUCCCCUCACUCAGCCUUUAGCAGUAAGGAGUUGGUUGCAGCAGGGCUGGAGGUUUGCAGUUUUCUUCCUCUCCCAACCCAGCUCUCUCCUUUGAAUUACACUGCCUGGUUACUGACUCCAGAAAGAAGAGUCAAGUUUUGCAGUGAUUUUUUAUAGAGUGCUAACUGGAAAAAAAAAGAGAGAGAACAAAAUGAACUUCUGGAUAGCAGGAAUCACAGUUUUUCACUAUUCUUACCUAAUUUAAAGGAAUGAACCUCCACUUUCAAAUUGAGAGGGGCCACAACGCCCAACUUAAGACUUUCCUGUGUGCCAGCUCCAAGCCAGUGGGAUGGCUGGGAGACUGGAGCCACACCAAAGCUGGGGAUUUUGAACCAGAUUGCUCCUAUCAUCUUCUUAUCUCAGAACAAGAGCACCUGACGCUGCCUAAAACUUGCAAGAAAUGACCCAGUGAGGUGGAGCACUUUCUUGCAGUGACUUACAGAAUGUCCCAGCCAAAUCCAAAACUGUUUUUAAAAGUGUGGAUGUAGUACAAAUGGAACAGCCUGUAAUUAACUGUGGAUAUUUCACUGCUUCUAGAGUAGAACAUCUCUGCUUGGUCAAAUAGUUAAUCCAUUUUACUAUCAGAUAAUUUAAGAGGCUCUUCAUUGCUUUAUUAUUAUUUUUUUGUAAUUGUUUCCAGUAAACAGCCCUGCAUCUGUCAUUAUUUUAGAACAGGAAAAUAUUUAGUGACCCAGGUACUGAAAGGGCUGCCAUCAACACUGUAAUAGACUUCUGCAUCCACAUGAAAUGUUCCUGAAAUCAAAUGGAUUAGACUAACUGCGUUCCUUCAGAUCAGCAAACAGCCCAAAAAGCCAGGACCAUGGUCCAUAAUGGCACAAUACCCUUUGAAACUCCUUUUCCAGGACUCUAUCAGCAGUGCUACACACCGCAGGCAGUGUGCUACUGCCAUUAAACUCCUCUUCUUUAAGAGCUUGAAAAACGGAUUCAAACAAUUUUCCUUUCAUUGAACUGUUUUUAAAUCAAGUCACUUCUCUACAUUUUCAACUUGAAUAAAUAACAUUUUUCUGUUAUAUUAAGCUUUGGAAAUGAAGUCUGUAUAUGUUACUAUCAUUGUAAUUAUUUAAAAAAAAACAAACAAACAACAACAAUAAAACAGUAAGUAUGAUGCCUCCUUGUACUUCUUGGUUUGAGAUGGAAUCAGAAAUCCAAAAAGCAAAGCAUUUGCAGAAGCCCUUGGUUUGGAGAUCCCUGAACUCCUUCAAACCAGGAGCAGAUGAAAAGCUUACAAAAAAAAGUUGCUCUCCAGUGGCUCUCAGCCCAAUUACCAGGAACCAAGGCAGGCUGAAUACACUCAGGUCAAUAGAUGCAAAGAGGAAACAAUCAGGUACCUUUCAAAUAUGCAACCAAAGAGUUUAAGGUUUGCCUACUACUUGUCUAGACACAUGUUUCAGAAGGGAAUAAAAAAAAGAAAAAUACUCUGUCUGGGAAUUCUUACCCUGCAAUUGUUGAGAAGCAGAAAGCUGGGUAAUUCUCUUCAACUGAAUAAACAUAGAAGGGAGUCUGAGAGCAAUUUGGCUUCAGAGCAAAUAUUGUUACCAAAUUCUUUGCACCUGCAACAGUCAGGAAAAUGAUAAUAUAGCCUCUCCACGUCUUCCUAUCCCACGCUUUGGAAAGCAUCCACGCAGUACCUCAUAGUCUGCUACAGCAUAAACAUUUUCAAGGCAGAGCCUCAUGCAAGCCCCUGCUGGUAUGGCUGUAUUGCACUCUAUGGCCCCAGCCCACAACUCCCACUCUCAUCUUGGCCUCAAGUCAGCCUGACACUCUGACCCAAUCUAUUCACAGCUCUCCAGCAUGAUUCCUGCAGCACCACUGGCUGCCAUAGCCAGCAUUCAGCCUGUACUGCACCAGCUCUGCACAGUGCUGCCCAGCUGGGAGCAUGUUACAGGACUUACUAAAGUUUAAAAAUAAAAGUAAUGAAAAAGCUAAGAACUUUAGCUGUCAUAGCUUCUGGUACCACUCUUCCAGCUUAGUCACACAUACCAAUGGAAAAUACUUCUACUGGUAUAGAAUCAUGAAAUUACAGAAUGGUUUGGAUUGAAAGAAACCCUAAAGCCCACCCAUUCCCAAUCCCCAGCCACGGGUAGGGCUGCCCCCCACCAGCUCAGGCUGCCCAUGGUCCCAUCCAAACUAGCCUGGAGUGCCUCCAGGGAUGGGGCACCACAGCUUCUCCGGGCAGCACUGUCAGUGCUUCACCACCCUCUGGAUGAAGAAUUUUCCUCUUAACAUCUAACCAAAAUCCCCCAUUUUAGUUUGGAACCAUCCUCCUCCCCUUGUCCUGUCAGACUGUGCAAAAUGCCAGUCUCCUCCCUCCUGCAAUGAGGUCUGCUCAGAGCCUUCUCUUCUCCAGACUGAACAAGCCCAGCUCCCUCAGCCUAUCUUCAUAUAAGAGGUACUCCAGCCCUCUGAUCUUCUUCACAGCACUCCUCUGGAUCCUCUCCAACACUUCGACCUAUUUCCUGUGUUCGGGACUCCAGACCUGGAUCCAGAUGGAACCUCAAGAGCAGAGAGGGACAAUCCCU
Non-coding RNA from Phasianus colchicus (ring-necked pheasant), 9252 nucleotides. NCBI's taxonomy places the organism in Eukaryota, Metazoa, Chordata, Aves, Galliformes, Phasianidae. The record is from RefSeq and is a predicted model, not a curated record.